AUACUCUGGUUUCUCUUAAAAUCAUAUAAAUCUUUCACCUUUUACUAAAAGAUUUCCAUGGAGAGGAACAACUCUGGGUCUUAAACCCAAUUUUUCGAGGCCUUGUUUUAACAGGGCU
This is a small nuclear RNA of Ursus americanus (American black bear), 118 nucleotides long. Its record names the gene U5. It matches the Rfam family "U5 spliceosomal RNA". From Rfam's summary of the family: U5 RNA is a component of both types of known spliceosome. The precise function of this molecule is unknown, though it is known that the 5' loop is required for splice site selection and p220 binding, and that both the 3' stem-loop and the Sm site are important for Sm protein binding and cap methylation. NCBI's taxonomy places the organism in Eukaryota, Metazoa, Chordata, Mammalia, Carnivora, Ursidae. The record is from Ensembl.